RNAcentral lists this ribosomal RNA (331 nucleotides) under uncultured bacterium. Its description in RNAcentral is "bacterial SSU rRNA". It matches the Rfam family "Bacterial small subunit ribosomal RNA", at positions 568 to 898 of the family's 1533-position model. The record is from RNAcentral.
CGCGCAGGUGGGAUCACCAGUCUGUUGUAAAAGUGCGGGGCUCAACCCCGUGAAGCGACGGAAACUAUGAUUCUUGAGUGCAGGAGAGGAAAGCGGAAUUCCCAGUGUAGCGGUGAAAUGCGUAGAUAUUGGGAGGAACACCAGUGGCGAAGGCGGCUUUCUGGACUGUGUCUGACACUGAGGCGCGAAAGCCAGGGGAGCGAACGGGAUUAGAUACCCCGGUAGUCCUGGCCGUAAACGAUGGGUACUAGGUGUAGGGGGUAUCGACCCCUCCUGUGCCGGAGUUAACGCAAUAAGUACCCCGCCUGGGGAGUACGGCCGCAAGGUUGAA